Molecule: ribosomal RNA, 346 nt
Filed under: uncultured bacterium
Lineage: Bacteria
Description: partial 16S ribosomal RNA
Rfam family: Bacterial small subunit ribosomal RNA
Source: RNAcentral
CCUACGGGAGGCAGCAGUGAGGAAUAUUGGUCAAUGGACGCAAGUCUGAACCAGCCAUGCCGCGUGCAGGAAGACGGCGCUAUGAGUUGUAAACUGCUUUUGUACGAGGGUAAACGCAGAUACGCGUAUCGGUCUGAAAGUAACGUACGAAGAAGGAGCGGCUAACUCCGUGCCAGAAGCCGCGGUAAUACGGAGGAUUCAAGCGUUAUCCGGAUUUAUGGGGGUUAAAGGGUGCGUAGGCGGGCGGAUAAGUUAGAGGGGAAAUCCCGAGGCUCACCUUCGGAAUUGCCUCUGAUACUGUUCGGCUAGUGCGUAUUUGCGGUAGGCGGCAUGUCUGUUGUAUCGG